Molecule: ribosomal RNA, 337 nt
Filed under: gut metagenome
Description: bacterial SSU rRNA
Rfam family: Bacterial small subunit ribosomal RNA
Source: RNAcentral
UGCCCCUUAUGUCCUGGGCUACACACGUAAUACAAUGGCGGUCAACAGAGGGAUGCAAAGCCGCGAGGCAGAGCGAACCCCUAAAACCGUCCCAGUUCGGAUCGCAGGCUGCAACCCGCCUGCGUGAAGUCGGAAUCGCUAGUAAUCGCGGAUCAGCAUGCCGCGGUGAAUACGUUCCCGGGCCUUGUACACACCGCCCGUCACACCAUGAGAGUCGGGAACACCCGAAGUCCGUAGCCUAACCGCAAGGAGGGCGCGGCCGAAGGUGGGUUCGAUAAUUGGGGUGAAGUCGUAACAAGGUAGCCGUAUCGGAAGGUGCGGCUGGAUCACCUCCUUU